GAUGAAGAACGUAGCGAAAUGCGAUAAGUAAUGCGAAUUGCAGAAUUCCAGUGAGUCAUCGAAUCUUUGAACGCACAUUGCGCCCUUUGGUAUUCCGAAGGGCAUGCCUGUUCGAGCGUCAUUAUCACCCCUCAAGCCCUCGGCUUGGUGUUGGACGGUUUGGUGGAGGCCCCCUCGGGGGCUCCUGCCCCUCCCAAAGACAAUGACGGCGGCCUCGUUGGACCCCCGGUACACUGAGUUCUUCACGGGACACGUAUCGGACACAUGGGUUUACGGGACACGGUCUGCCUCCCCUCAGGGAGAAUCUUUCUAAGGUUGACCUCGGAUCAGGUAGGGAUACCCGCUGAACUUAAGCAUAUCAAUAAGCGGAGGG
Molecule: unclassified non-coding RNA, 373 nt
Filed under: soil metagenome
Description: partial contains 5.8S ribosomal RNA, internal transcribed spacer 2, and large subunit ribosomal RNA
Rfam family: 5.8S ribosomal RNA (bases 1-121)
Source: RNAcentral